AUUGAACGCUGGCGGCAGGCCUAACACAUGCAAGUCGAGCGGAUGAAGGGAGCUUGCUCCUGGAUUCAGCGGCGGACGGGUGAGUAAUGCCUAGGAAUCUGCCUGGUAGUGGGGGAUAACGUCCGGAAACGGGCGCUAAUACCGCAUACGUCCUGAUGGAGAAAGUGGGGGAUCUUCGGACCUCACGCUAUCAGAUGAGCCUAGGUCGGAUUAGCUAGUUGGUGGGGUAAAGGCCUACCAAGGCGACGAUCCGUAACUGAUCUGAGAGGAUGAUCAGUCCCACUGGAACUGAGACACGGUCCAGGCUCCUACGGGAGGCAGCAGUGGGGAAUAUUGGACAAUGGGCGAAAGCCUGAUCCAGCCAUGCCGCGUGUGUGAAGAAGGUCUUCGGAUUGUAAAGCACUUUAAGUUGGGAGGAAGGGCAGUAAGUUAAUACCUGGCUGUUUUGACGUUACCAACAGAAUAAGCACCGGCUAACUUCGUG
Molecule: ribosomal RNA, 484 nt
Filed under: uncultured bacterium
Lineage: Bacteria
Description: partial 16S ribosomal RNA
Rfam family: Bacterial small subunit ribosomal RNA
Source: RNAcentral